CUAGGAGCCUAUCACAACACUACAACAAAAAUGGACCAGCCAUGGUCCAAUCACAAUGAAGGCAAUAAUAAAGUGAAUAAUUCAAUAAGCAUAAAGUUUGCCUCUCCAGAAAGUGAAUAAUUCAACACCUUGUUCCAUGCACAAACAUGCUCAUAUAGUUUCAUCUGCACUAAUACAUGCUAAGUCUAAUAUUAAACAUAAAUCCAUUACAUCAAACAUGUUCUUAAUGGAAUAACAGUUAACUUCUACAAGGUAGUGGCAAAAUAGUCCUAUGGAACUGGCGACAUAAAACUCGCUUCAAUUGAAAUGUGGCCAAUAUGAUGCUCCAAAUGUUGUCAUUGAGGGAGCUGGCAGAACCUUGGGCGCACCAUCUUCGGAAAAUUUCUCUGUUUUAGGAGUAUUAAGAUAUAUACCCAUCCGUUUUAACCGAAAUUAACAAAACAAAAAUUCAAACUAGCAUCUUCAACCAAAAGAAUCAAAAGAAGACUUAAGUCAAUCACACCAUGUAUAAAUUUCUAGAUAUUGCCAGCUCAUUUCAAUGUUUGAAAAAAGUACAAAUAUAAUAACAAGAGCGAAGAUCACAGCAUCAAACAUUCAAACUCCUACUAUGCAAAUGAGAAUAGCUUUCCUAAACACAAAAAUUCAUAACAGCAAAAUGAAAAAAAAAAAAAAAAAAUGCCGGGGGAAAAAGAAAAUUCAAACCCAUGAUUGAUAAAUUCAAGAAAACGCCAUUUCAAUAUUGCUGUGCAUUUUUGGUACUUUUCGGACUAAGAAAUCUCCAAUAUAAAUAUCAACAUAAACCAAAAUCAUGCCUGAAGAAUAAACCAACUACGAAAAACCAAUCUUAACCUUCAAUGAACAUACUAAGAAAUCCCCAAGAAGCUAUUGAGAUCAAAUACAAAAUCAACAAGGAAGAUAAAGAAACUCAACAGAAAAAUAAUUAUUUAUGAACUAGCUGUGAAAUGUACAAAUUCGCUUUACAGUAUCUAGAAUUCACAAUAACAGAGACGAUACUAGCAUCAUUAUCUACUUACAUGCCCAGUAGCAAGUCAACAAUUUCGGCAAUAAAUGAGUUCACACUAAAAUCUUCCUUUUAGUGAAAACAAGAAAGGGAAAAACAACCUGCAGAAAAGGUUUCAAAAAUGGAUAUAAUUAUCGGUGAAAGAGCUGGUGACAGAGACAAGAGGGCACAGAGAGGGAGAGAGUUUGGUAUGUCGAUGCGUACAUGAAUGGUAUUUUCCGAUAAACAAUAGUGUGCAAAGAAAAAGAGUGACGGAUGAUUGAAGGCGGCGGGAUGGAGAUCGGACUUUACUGUCGGAUCUGCAAGGUUGCCGGAUUUGAACGGCUGCACCACUGCCGGAGAUGGAGGCCAGAUUUUAGGACGUGAUAUGCAAAGUCGGACAGAAGGUAGUGCAAGAUGGGAGAAAUGGUUUUGGCGCCCCCGAUUUUUUUCUUCAUUUCAUUACGCAGUAGAG
RNAcentral lists this long non-coding RNA (1475 nucleotides) under Olea europaea subsp. europaea. Lineage: Eukaryota; Viridiplantae; Streptophyta; Magnoliopsida; Lamiales; Oleaceae. The record is from RNAcentral.